RNAcentral lists this ribosomal RNA (564 nucleotides) under Triticum aestivum (bread wheat). Its description in RNAcentral is "partial small subunit ribosomal RNA". The record is from RNAcentral. Lineage: Eukaryota; Viridiplantae; Streptophyta; Magnoliopsida; Poales; Poaceae.
AUGUCCUCUAGAAAGUAUUUAUCAGGUAUUAGUAACAAAAGGAAGAGAAAAAAGCAAAUAUAUGUAGAGGUAAAAUCCCUAAAUGGGUCACUUGACAAAAUUUUCACAACUAGUAGUUCUCCUCGAGAUCCCCUGGAAUUGGCCAUAAUAAGUGCUGAAGAACAAUCAACUGAGAAUACGGAUGCUACUGAUCAUGAUACGAACGAGGAUAAUAAUAAUUCCAGUGAGCAUGAAAACGUAACUCAUUCACCAAAUUAUGAAUCACCGAGUGUCGAUAAACAACAACUAUUCACCGUUGAUAUUUUUGAUCCACAACACUGGGAUAAUCUGGAUGAUAAGGCUAGAGAUAUUUUAGUUGAGAAGCGUCCUGUAAGAAAUGAUGAUAUUGUGUUCCCUCCUGAUAGUAAUUCUAGACAUUUUCACAAACUUUAUUAUUCCAGAAAGUUGAGCAAUGGAGAGGUACAUGACAGGAAUUUGAUGGUAACACAAAACAUCUUAGUAGCAACCAGUUUUGACAUGAAUUUUUGUUUUGCAGAACAUAAUGAAGUCUCUGUUCAUACUUAG